UGUCUGAGAUAUUUUUCAUCCUUAAUCAUCGCUGCAUGAAAUCAGGAAUAACAUGUAACUGAUCUGCUAAAUGAGUCAAAGUGGUGUGGUGCUCCUGGACACUAGAUGAAAGCAGUGUUAUGUGACAGAGCUGAUCUAUUUUAGCAGAUUUUCUGUGUGGAUUAAGACUAUAAAUCUGUUAUAUGGUAUGUUUUGUUCCAUUCAAUAUGCUUUGCUUCUAGACUGUAUUUUUCAGCAGGCUUUCUAUCACAGAUGGUAUCUGAUUCAUUCAGUCUAAUGUGGUUUGUAGCCAUUUGGCUAUCUACUGAGCAUAGAUUUUUUUAAAAAAUAUAUUAUAAUUUGUCGUUUUAUGGGAUUAAUUAGACUCAGACAAUUUUUCUAUUGAAUUAUGUGAUGGCUUUGUGUAACUGUGAUAAGGGCUGAGCUGGCUCCAUAUUAAGAAAAUUUAACUAUCUAACCCUUAGGCGGUAGAAACAAUACAAACUUCUAAGGGCUCCCCACAUGGAUUUAGUGCUUUAGACAUCUGCUCCGAUAGCAGCAAAGCCUGGAUAAGUGACUAAUACUGUGUCAAGGAUUUAGAAACUUUUUUGCUUAAAGUUAGAGCACUUGCAACAAUGAAGCUUCUAAUCUGGUUCUUGUGUUGGAGGUGCUAGAACAAUCUGAAGAAGGGCCGUUCUCAAGCUCAUAACAAAAUUGUUCUACAUGCAAAACCUUGCUUACAAAACCUUGUUGUUUGUGUCCCAGGAGGAUUAUGAUGAGAAAAUAUCUAAUGCAGACAGACGAUACUUCUGCCAUGUGCAGACUGCAAGCAUUUCUGGUGUCUCUUGCAGGAAUAAUGGUUUGUAGAUCUCUUAUUUUUAUUAUUAUUAUUUUUAUUAUUAUUUAAAAAGGUGCAUCCUGAAACAGGGUAUGAAAUAAGAAACGGUGGUAUCAAAAUGGAUAUAGCUGUAUUGCUGUCCCAGGUUGCACCUAAGAACUUAAGUGAAGAAGGCACAUCCUGUCUGAGUAUCAUCCCCAAGUUAAUCAUAUCCUUCUAAUGAAUCUUAAAGUAUUUGCAGUUGACCAGCAGUAUGCUGGCACUGACAACAGCAAAAUUACUGACUGCCUGAAAGAGAAGAAAGCAGAUGAGUCAAAAGAAUUAGAUUAGAUGUAGACUACUAAUGAAAUGGACAGACUCCUUCCUCCUUCCCAUGGCUCUUCCUUACAGCACUUCUGGAGAUGGCAUCUAGAGCAACAAAAAUCGAGCCAACAUAAUAGUACUGUAGAAAUCAUUAAUAUGCACAAGAAAAUUCAACAAAAUGCCUAUUGUAAGGCUGUUGAUUCCAGGGCUGCAAACUACAGUUGUGAAAAUUAAUGCAUUUGCCUUAGUUCAAGCUUGGUAAAUACUAUGAAGAAUUAGCAGUAAUUCCACAGUUGUUACACUUGAAAUUGCAUUAUAGUUCUGAUUUUGUUACCUUCUAUAACAUGUCCAAAACCAUAACAGAUACCAGAUUUUGGCAUUAGAUUUGAGAUUAAGCGUUAUUCCAGUCAGCUUUAAAAUAAAGAAGCUAAAGUGUUUCUGAACUCCUGAUAAAUCCCAAUAUAAUUAAAUAUACUGAGAUAUAAAUCCGUCAUACUAAGUUUAAAAUAUGGGACCAUAUUAUUGUAGUUUACUGUCCUCUUAUGAUUGUAAUUAAUGAUGUAAUUACAAUCAAGGUGGAGCUGAAGUAGUAAUACUUCCAAGAAGCAGUGACCCUGAUGAGCAUUGUUAUUCUAUGGAAAACCUUGUUCACAUAUGGUUGCAUAGAGUUUUGUCUGUCUAACUUUUGACAAUGGGUUUGGCUAAAACUCGAAGAUGCAAGACAGGUUGAAAUAAUACCCUCACUUUUCAGAAAGUUAAAUAAGCAGGAGACUUGACAGCCCACAUCAGGGCUGCCAACUCCAGCAAUGAACCGGAUUUAGAAGUUGUUAUAUGAAGAAUCUGCAGGACAUGAAAUUUAAAUGGUUCCUCUGAAUAAAUACCUUCUAAACUAGGUGUCUACAUGGUUUGUUGAAUUGUUCCCUUUUGCUGUUGUUUUGUUUUAUGCGUUUGCAGUGACUUUCUUCUGCUCCACAGAAAUAGCCUUUUAAGGAAGGUUUCUGUUCAGUGAUUACUACAGCUCCUGCCUCCAAAGAGCCAAAUUGCUAGGUCCAAGUGUGUCUGUGGAAAUCAUGAUUGAUAGACAAGGGAAUAAACUCAAGUCUCCACCCUCAGUUAGGGAUAACAGCUAGUCUUGAAAAGUGAAUUGUUUGUUUUCAGAGACAGGAAGGGAGCAGUGUGCCAAGAUAAACAGCUAGCUAAUGUUUUCUGAAUAUUUGCAAUGCCUAAGUGUUGUAGUACAGCUGGAUUUUGGUAAAUUUUUUAAUUCUUGCUUAAAUACUGAAUUCUAAAUAAAAGGUUAUUAAUGUUAGUACAGAAAUAUAAUAUAAAAAAUAUAUACAUGCAUGAAUGGAAAAGUCAGCAGAGAUGGAGAAUUAUGAGACAAUUAUGAGUUACCGGAGGCAGUUAAUUGUUGGUCAGUUUGCUACAAUAUUUGAAACAAAAGCUCAUUCUCAAGCCCUCUUUGUAGCCUGCAUUUCUCUCUCUUCUAAAUAAGCACACUUUUCUUCUAUGUAGAUUUAUGAAUUGAUCGCAUGCUACUAAAUGUUUUGCUGGAUAAAUUAUUUAGCACAUAGUUUUUUUGUUAGCAUUUUCCCUGCUGUACAACCAGAUGAAUAACACCUGUGAACAAGAUCUGUCUUACUAUCAAUCUGAACUUGAUGAUAUGACUUCUUGUUGAAGUAACUCAUAUUGUUACAUAUGAAAGCAAAUAUGAAUAAAAUUGGUUACCUAUUUGCUCCCAUGAACUUCUCCCAGGGCAGUAGCUCUAUUUGUUAGGUGCAAGGUCUAUCUGCAAGGCUCAGUAAGAAAAAUAUCUGCUGCACAGUUAUCCUUAAAAUAACUUCAGGCAGGAGCUGUUGUGCAGAAGGACGUGACGUUGUGAGGGGAAAAUCAUGGUGGACAGAUGCAGUGAAUUAAACCCCUCCAAGAACCUCAAAAGCCAUUUAACAUUGUCAAAAUACUCAGUCAGAGCACACUCUGAAAGCAUCAGAAGAAGUCAAGUACCACAUAAUAUUCUGUGCUCUUGAGCAAGGCAAGAAUAUACAAAAAAAUGUAUUAUUUUCACCAUUCUGAAGGGACAGAAAGAUCCAUGCUCUCAGCAAUGUUGCAAAGUCUGAUUUAGUUAAACUUGAUAUUAUUUCAGUUGUGACACUCUUAAAUAUGUUUCUGUAUAAACUAUAGUUCUUUUGUUCUGCUGUAUGUAUAUAAGUAUAUGCUCAUACACAGGACUGGUAAUACAACUCAAGUCUAAACUGAAAGACAUAAUUUGAAAAAAACACCCUUGGCCAAUUACUGGUAAUUAUUUUAAACUUACUGUAUAAACUGCAGCAUUGUGUUAUACAUCAUUUCAAAACUUAUGCCUUCAAAUAAUAUUCAAUUCAUAGGAAAGUUAUUUUGUGUUAAAAUAUCCAUGACAUGCUGAUACAGAAGUAUCUGGGCUUUGCAAAGUGCUGACUGGCAAAUCAGGGAUAAUGCAAAGUACAUCCUCAGUUUCUUAGAUUCAUUGGCUUUAUUGUUAGAAAACUAUGUUAAAUCUAAUGCUGGCAGUGUGGCAAUACCUGAAGAAAAAUAAAUAAAUAAAUAAAUGUCCUCGUAAGACAAACUCUGAUAAAUUCUGUUUGACAGUGCAAUAUGAGAUAGGAAGGGAACCAGUCUCACUUCCUCUGGCAACAAUAACCAAGCACGGCACCUGCCAGAGAGUUGUGGCACUAUUAAAAAAGAAGGGAGUAUAGGAUGAAAUAGGUUCUCUGAAUGAAAGGUUAUAUUUGAAUUCUUCACUACAGUGCUGUAUUCAGAUCGGUCUCAUUCCAGAUUUUCAUUAGAGCUUAGUGCUCAGGGCUUGGAGGGAAGUCAGAAUAAAGCAGAGCUUGCUGGUCACAGGCAAGAAGUCCCUUCUGGGGGCAAAGGUAUUGCCAAUACCGCUGGGAAGCAGUGGGCUGGGAAAGAAAGGGAUGAAUGACAACUGGGGCUAUUUGAGAGAGGGUAUUAACAGCACUGGAAGAAAAUUCUCUGUUGGAGGAGAAAAAUAAGAGUGAGAGGAUGUGAAAUCUUUGAGUAAGUAGUGUCAGAAGGAAAACAUAGCCUACUGGGAGUUCUAAGCAGGCAGUAGCACAAGACCACACCAAUGGAUGGACAGAACAUCCCAAUGGAUUUAUUCUCUUACGCCUAAAAUACCAACACAAAGCACCAGAAGAAAUAGAAGCAUUAGUUUUUUUAAAAAAUUAAAUGUAUGUAUCAGUAAGGCAAGUUAAGCUGUAAUAAUCGGGUAAAUGUUGACUUUCUAGAAAAUUAGGGCUCAGAUCUAACAUUUACCCCCAGAUGUUAGUUGUAUCUUCUGUACCACCAAUCAGAACACCAGUGCAAUUUUAUGGCCUAAAAUGAUCCAACAGAGAUUGGGCUUUUGGCAUUUGGGGAGGAUGUCACUUGGAAACCAAUCCUGAAAGUGGCAUGGGAGCCCCAUAAAUGAAUCUUUUAUGGGCAGAGGAGGUGCUACCUCCUGAGAUAUUUAGCAAUAAGGAGAAAUUCAGAGUUAUGCAAAUAGAAGGGAGCAAACAGCCAGUCUGUGGAUCUCAAACUAUGUUUACAGAACCCUGGCAGGCAAAAACAGCAGGAUGACAACCUUGAAAGAAAAAACUUUGCUUUUCUAAGGUCAGAUGAAGCCAUGCUGUUCUUUAUGGCUUUGAAUGAUAUAGGGGGGGGGGGUUUGGUAGAGCCAAAAUUGCCUUGUGGUUUUUAUUAUUUCUUGAUCUGAUUAAAAUAUUCCUGUUCAUAUUGGGGAAUGUUUUCUUUGGCAUGUUCCUCACUCAGCACAGCCCCAGUGAGCCCCGCAUCCAACGGUGUCCUGUGUGGAUGAGCUUCCACCAGUGGGCAUUGGGAACAGCCAAAGUUCAAACAGUCUAAUUUUGUAUGGAUAGCAUUGUUAUGGCUGGUGCUAGGGACCCAGGGGGCCCUCACAAGUCUCCCAGUUCUAUUUUAUGGUAAUGUUUUCUAAAUUAUUAUUAAGGUGAGAAGUUCUUUGUCCAUGCUGGUAACAAAGCACUGACAAUGCACUCUACCCUGCUCCACUUGCCUAAGGAGAUUAGACUUUGAGAGUCCUGGGGAAACCAUGGAGACAAUUUUUAGUCUCCAAAUCUGUGAUGGAAGUGUUUUUCCCUCCAGACCAGUGCAUUCAUUAUUAAAAAUGAAUGGCAAGGGUUCUGCUUGCAUGGAACCAUUACUUUUGGUGUCACAAAUAAAAUCUAAUUCCCAAGUAUAAUUAUUGUUGUGCUUUAGGAUAGUCUGGGAGGCAAAUUGGUGUCCUGUACAGUCAGGUGUGCAAACUUACUGUAUUUUCUGCUCUAUAAAAUUUGAUGGAAGUCCUAAUAUUAUAAAUCUCAUUUUUUCAUUUCUAGGUAACUUAAAAGUAUCCUUGAGUUAUGUAGAAUCUCAUUCUUAGUUUUAAUUCAGAAAUGGACUUUUGGGAAAGAUCUAUCUAUUUGGUUUACCCACUUCUUUAUUAUCUUCAGAGUAUAGAAUAUACAUCCCAUUUUAUAUUUGAAAGUAGUUAUUUUAGGGGCUCAGAUAACUAAAAACCUAUGUGGUUUUAAAUCUAUCUAGGUUGUACUAUAUUUAGACCAUUUUCUUCCUGCAGGUGAAUGACUCUGUGACAGAUUUCAAACUAAAAAUAGUUGCACAAUACCUAUCAUAAUAAAAAAAUUAUCACCGGACCUUGACAUGGAUCUUCUUGAGCCCUGACAGAGCCAUGAGUCUGUAAGAGCAGCAGUAGAUGUCCCAGAGGAACAGUGUCAAGUUCCGCUGGUAUUAAACUCCAUAGGCACAGAAUGUCCUCACUGUGGUAAAAGGGCAGUAAAUUGUGUGCAGGUGAUCUCUGCUGUUGUGUUCCUUGAUGACCCACACCAUCUGCAGAAUCAGGGAGAUUGGCGACAGCAGCGAUAAGUCAGAUGAUUUCAGUGCGUUCCCCCAGCUAAAUGCUUUUCUGCUUCACCUGAGUUAUUGCUUCAUACUUUGAGGUGUUGUUUAGCCUAAAUUCUGUCCCAGUUGUGUUGUUUUUCACACAUUAAAAACAAAAAAAAAAAAAAAGAGUAGAAAAAAUCUUCUCAUAAAGAGUGAUCAGACGUUGGAUAGGCUGCCUAGGGAGGUGGUGGAGUUGCUUCCCCUGGAGGUGUUAAUGAAAUGUGUAGAUGUUGUAUUUAAUGAUAUGGUUUAGUGGGCAAUAUUGGUGGUAGAUGAACAGUUGGACUUGGUUAUCUUGGAGGUCUUUUUCAACCUUUAUGAUUCUAUGAAAUAACCCAUAUGGAUUAAAAGCCUUGUAAACAAAAAUCAAAUUGUUUUUGUCUUAUAAUCAGUGAAAUCUGCCCAUUGGUUUUAGAUGCAGCUUGUUCAUGAAAACUGACCCACAAGCUCUGCUGGAGGCUGGGAGAUUAUUAUAUGAAAAUUUAAUGAGAAGGCUAUUUAACUUUUUUUUUGUUGGCAUCUGUUGGCCACUUGACUAGUUGGCUUAUUCUGCCUGAGUCAUUACAACCUUUGCCUUAUAAAAGUUUCCCCUUUGUAUCCUUGAUACUGUUGUCAUUUUCUUUGUUAUUGAUGGUGGUGCUGUUUUUAAUGAAUGUCCAUUAAAAUGAAUUCUGUAUAAUUUUAGCACAUUUAUAUGCAUGCAAAUAUGUACACGUAGAUGAAAUUUUACUGUAAGAUAAAUGAAAUGUGAAAUUGCAUUGUACAGACAAACAUGGCUCAUUUUUGUAGUGAAAGGAUUGCUUUACACUGUGAAGAGCAUUUGUUUUUCAAAAUAUAGUGAAUUCUCUCAUUUCCAACAGAAGAAUAAGAUAAGUGGGCAGAAUAUAACAGGAUCUUCCUGUAAUGAGAUUGUUUUCCUCUUCCACUCAGACCUAUUAGCGUUAAACCCUACACUGCACCUUUCCAAUUGCCGGACUGAUUGAAUAAUGCAAAAUUUGAUACCAGCACUCUGCAUUGCUUAAUCUCCUUGUUUCUUUUCUAAUUCCUGAAGAUGAGAGAUGCUGUGUUUAUUGUCAAGUUUAUUGCCAAUUUAACCCUGUGAAGAACAACUGGAUGAGGUAUCUGCAGUGUGUGCACAUGGGAAUUACAAUAUCUUCAUAUGCAAUAUUUUCUAUAGAAAUCUGCUGGUAUACCUUGCAAUAUAUCUCCUGCACCCAGAUGGCAGUAACAUGCUCUUUAUAACUGUGGACAGUGCUUUGCCUCAUAGGUUCAGAAUUCUUGAAUAUAUUUAUUAAGAUUAUGCAAGCUACUAAAACACAAACAUCACCCACAAACUAAUAAUUGUAAGGCAGCUUAAUGAUCUUGUAAAGGCUCAGUUAAAUACAGCUGUGUAUUUUCAUCCCAUAGAAGUGGAAUAAUUUGGUGAGUCCAAUUUAUUAUUUUAUGAUUUUUAAGAGGAAGAUCUUUCUAAUGUUUGGGGUUGUAAUCUAUCCUUGUGGGAUUUAGGUUUAAUUAUCUGCUUUUAAACAGGAUUUCUUUUAUCAUCUCCAGUAAUUUAGCUCAUAUCUGCACUAAGCUUGUUUCUAUUUGGUUUUGGAGAUCUCAGUUUUAAUGGGUGCCCAGGUAAGGAAGAAAAUAUUUUUGAACCUCUGAAGUGCUGAAUACCUAUGAAAUAUCACUUGUGUCAUCACCAUCCUGGGAUCUGGGAGGUGUCUACAUAGUUUAUAAUGGAAAUUUGAAGUUCUCAACUGUAUUAUUUAAUGUCUGGGAGAAGAAACCUGGUGAUGACAAAAAUAAAGAGGCUACAUUUUAUUUCCUGCCCAUAAUUUUCGAUUGAGAAGUAGCAGGGAGAUGGCUGUAGCCUUGCCUUUACCAUAGGAAAUGACUUAUCCUUCAGCUGUACUGAAGUCUUGCCCACAGACACCAUGAGGAAGCUUGGUACCUGUCAGGGGAGUGCCAGGAGCUGCAGUGAUGCACAGCCAUCUAUGUUUGCUUUGGCUAAUUGCAACACUCCCAGUCAGAUUGCAAGAAAAUUCCUUGCUGUUGGUUUCUCGUAAUGGGAAUCUAGGUAAUGCAUUGUUUGGCUUGCAAAAUAUUUAGAAAUACUCAAGAGCACUAUGUUGGUAAUGAAAAUAUUUUGUAUUUCCAAUGGGCUGGAUGUUGGAGAUAGGAUCAACUAUUAGUAUUACAUGCACAUAGAUUCUCUGAAAGCGAAAAGACCCUGAGUUGACUACUUUGGCAGCCAGUUUGCCUCUGAGCCCAAUAUUGCAUUGAACAACCCUUUAAAAUUCAGUUGUGCUUGUAUAUUUUAAUCCAUUUUCAGAGCAUUAAGCAACGAUUGUGUUCCCGGCUGGGGACUUUGAUUUGCGAUGGUCAUUUUAGGUAACCAUAUGCUAUAGCUGCUUAAAAAAACUCAUAUAUUGUGCUAGUUCAGUCAGAUACUUCUAAAAUUAAAUAUAGGAUCUUCUUUUUCAUAGGUUUGGUGCUAAAGUCACCAAAAUUACUUUUUAAGCAAUCUGAAUACUAUUGCUUGAAUAUGUGUUUUCCAACCUGUAGCAUAAUGAAGAUUCAAGAAUUUGAAUGGGGUAAUAAGUAGCUUAAAAAUUGUGUAAGAUGGGCAAACAGAUUGUUUGUUCUUGACCAUUAUAGAAAAUCAGCAAUAAGAACACACCUCUGUGUUUCUAGCAAAAAAUAAUGUAACAAGGGUGUUUUACACAUAGGCUGGGAAACUCACACCACUUUAAUUCAUGGCUGAGUUAAUCAGUGCUAAGUGUUAUGGAUAAAGGGAGAAAUGGUCUUUUCCUCUUGCAGGGUCCUUGAGGGCAUGGAGAGACCCUCUUUGACAGGGUGUGAUUGUUUUUUCUUCUCUUCACUAUUGCAGAUAGACAGCUGGGAGAACCAAGGAAGAGCUCUCUUUUGCCUGCUUCGAGGAGAAAGUCAUGAAGUGGAUUAUCUCACCUGAUAAAGAUUCACAAGUUUCAAGGCCACUAUUAAAACAAACAAACAAACAAAAUCAAUGCCAUAAGCAUAAGUAACAAAGGCACAUUUGGAGAGCAGCAGUGAGAUGAUCAAUCAUUGAUGACAAAUCCAAAUUUUCAUGUUAAGAUGUGCAAAAGCACAUUGUAGACAUCUGUUCUGUGUGCAAAAUAAACAGCAGACACUUCGUUUCUCAGCUUUUUUCAGAUGAGUAAUCUGCUGGAAAUUGAGCAGAAUUACAUGGAAUAUAGUCAUUUUAGUAUACAUAAUCUAGAAAAGAAUAGAUCUCUAAACAGAUGAAUUCAUAAAUUAUGUAUUUUUGACAUUUAAAUACAUCAUGGGGACCCUAUAAAUCAAGCUCUCUCUGCAUUUACCAUGCAUGCAAAACACUUUCAGACCUUGCUGAUUUCAGUAGGCCAGAAUCUCUUGUUCCACAGCAUCUAAAACAGAACUGCAAAACUUCUACCUGCUGCACUUCCUUUAGCAUCAUUUAACUUCAGCAUUGUUUCAAGCUUGUGCCCCUCUGCCCAACCUGCUGCUAUGCUGUUAAACCAUUUCACUGUUGAAUUUUAGUUUUCUAAACUAACUUUUCUUGUUAGGUGUCCGUUUUUUAAAUGUUUAAUCUCAGUGUGCAUGUUUAGAGUAGUUAGAACCAUUCUCUCUCUAUAUAUAUAUAUGUGCACUAUAUUUAUAUGUAUUUAUGUAUGUUUAUAUUAAAAACUAUUUUGCAAGUGUUGCAAAUAUAAAUUUAUGUAUCACUGAAGAGAUAAGAAACAUUUAUAUAGAUGCUGCUGUUAUAUACAGGUAUGGAGGUGAGAGGAAGAAUGGCUGUAAGCCCUCCCAUUGCCGUGGUCCUUCUGGUGAUGCCCUCAGCCAUCACAUGCAGAAUCCAUACAAAAGGUAUUAUCCCAGUUUUCUUCCUGGUUCCAGUGAUCUUUGUUAUUAGUGUUUCAGACCACCAAGUGAUGAUUCCACAGUGAUAUUCUGUGCUAGCUGCUGGCUGGAAACAAUAGAUGCAACAUGGGAGCUUAAAGAAGAGAGAUGCUGGGAAGCCAUCAUACUUUUCCUGGCUGUUCCAUAUCACCUUACUCUGUUUGGAGAGAUGGUGGUCCAUCCCUACUAAGUGACAGUUUCUCUUUGCAGUCAAUGUGCCAGACCCCAAGAUACCAGAGGUUGUGCUUGGGGUCCUUCCCUUGCUGAGAAGAUAAAGUGGCAACUCUUAUGAAAUCCCACCCUUGCUUCUCCAGCUGGUAUGUGUCACUGUGGUGUAUUGUUGUACUGUAAGAACAUUCAAAAAGCUUUGCCAAAUUGGCGAUGUCCUCCCUUGUUCACAGCAACUGGGAAGAGGACGCAUGACAAUGUUUCCCCUUGUUGCUGUCUGGUUGCUGGUAGACAUUUAGCCAAAGAGUUAAGGGAGUUUGCAAUAGGUGUUUGCCUGUUCAGAAGGAGACAGAAAAAUUGUUCUGGCUUCAGUUUAACCAGUAGAAACAAAAUACAUUUUUCUUCCUCCACAACUAUGAGAGCUGAAGUCCAGGAAAGGUGUGCCUUUGCAGUAAAUCCACCAACUCGUAUAUCUUUCCUGAUCGUGCUUGGAAAUAUUUAGUAGCUUUGAAAUACUUUGAAAUACUUUUCAUGUUGUUCCAAAA
Non-coding RNA from Coturnix japonica (Japanese quail), 10695 nucleotides. NCBI's taxonomy places the organism in Eukaryota, Metazoa, Chordata, Aves, Galliformes, Phasianidae. The record is from RefSeq and is a predicted model, not a curated record.